This 72-nucleotide transfer RNA is filed under the name Camelus bactrianus (Bactrian camel). It matches the Rfam family "tRNA". From Rfam's summary of the family: Transfer RNA (tRNA) molecules are approximately 80 nucleotides in length. Their secondary structure includes four short double-helical elements and three loops (D, anti-codon, and T loops). The record is from Rfam by way of RNAcentral. Lineage: Eukaryota; Metazoa; Chordata; Mammalia; Artiodactyla; Camelidae. RNAcentral also lists the same sequence under 2 other names.
GAGGACAUAGCUCAGUGGUAGAGUGUGUGCUUAGCAUGCACAAGGUCCUGGGAUCAAUCCCCACUACCUCCU